Molecule: ribosomal RNA, 822 nt
Filed under: Triticum aestivum (bread wheat)
Lineage: Eukaryota; Viridiplantae; Streptophyta; Magnoliopsida; Poales; Poaceae
Description: partial small subunit ribosomal RNA
Source: RNAcentral
AUGACUUGGGAUCCCAUGAAACUACCCUUCCCACCGUUCUCUUCGCGCAAUGACUACGCGCAUCUAUUCUACUUGUCUCUCACAUGGCUAUGGGCUAUAUAUCACUUGUUACGUUAUGCCCAUUUUCCCGUGUUCACUAUGUCUUUGCCCUGCAAUUGUGACCCUUGCUUGCAUCUACCCAUGAUUCACCAUUAUGCUACUCCUAUGUGUAUUUGCAUGCUUGUUGGAGAUCAUUGUUACUAUUGCCUUGUUUAUCAUGUGCCUCAUGCUACUGAUGCUAUUUUGCUCAUAUCAUGCCUUCAUGCUUGUGAUGUGUCUUGUGCAUUAUUCAUGACUACUAUUUGCACACAUGACAUACUUGACAUGAUUCCUUCUAGUAUGUUGCAUCUUUGCACUACUAGCUUGCUUACCUUGAUUCAUAUGAUAGCUUACUAUGUCGCAUCACCCAUGUUCCAUUCUUACAUGCUUUCUUGGGUUGAUGACGUAUAUGUUCAUGCCUCUCGCAUGAUAUAUUUUGUUCAUUGUCGCUUUCCUCCAAUUGUUGCAUCUAUGAUUAUUGAUCUUGGAGACUUGGACACUUUACUUGUGAUGCAUGCUUGCUUGAUUGCGCCUAUUCUAUUUGGUUGUUCUCGCAUCAUAUGCCUCCAUACUAUGAAAUGCUCCCUUGUCCUUUCUUAUGAUGAGCACAAUUCAUACACUUGUUGGGUAUCUUACCACACGAAUGAUAGGUUUUGCAUCUCCGCUAACCUCAUUUGUUUUUCCGAGUGUUUGUCAUGUUCUUUCAUUUUGAAGGAUUCACAAGGUGAUACCUUCAUGAGAUAA